Long non-coding RNA from Priapulus caudatus, 1385 nucleotides. RefSeq lists it as uncharacterized. NCBI's taxonomy places the organism in Eukaryota, Metazoa, Priapulida, Priapulimorpha, Priapulimorphida, Priapulidae. The record is from RefSeq and is a predicted model, not a curated record. The transcript has 3 exons.
CUACCUUAGCACAACGCUUCGUAUGAUCACGUACCAUGCUACCUUAGCACAAGGCUUCGUGCUAUAAGGUGACAUUCGUCUAAUUACUACAGAUCUUACGCUCGAUCUCUGCUAGGUGCUACACCGAAAUGCGCUUAUACUAUAUAUAAUCGGAUGUACGGACAACGGACGGACUUACGACUGGCGGUAGUUGUGUCGCAGGAGUUGUUGGGCUGACAAUGCCACGUUAUUGCCUCUUCGGAGACACCGUAAACACCGCAUCGCGAAUGGAAUCGAAUUCAUUACCUCUAAAGAUUCACAUCAGCUCAGAGACCAAGGAAAUCCUAGAUACGUUUGGUUGCUUUCAAAUAAGCGAGAGGGGAUUGGUGGAUAUGAAAGGUAAAGGCCAACUCGUCACCUUCUGGCUCUUGGAGGAGGUUUUGCAAUCAGACACGCAAGAGAAUCCAGGCACAGAAAUUUGAGCACGCCAUUCGAUUUUAUCAGAGUAUGGUGGCGGGGAUCGAAAACUCGUUAGUAAACCGCCAGCGUUCAAUCGUUAAGGUAGCUUUGCUUGCUAGUGCGUUUAUCGUUAGACGCCGUAGACUAGCUGUGAUUCGAGAAUUGUCUGUGAACUCCACGUAGUAGAUCUAGAUAUAACCUUGAAGUAAUCAUUCUGUCAGCCAGAAUGAUCAGUCAGAAUAAUUACUCCAAGAUAUAACCCACGUAGACUGUUACGGCGAUCGUUAUCUGCCGUGCUUGAGAGGGAGGAUUACGGGUCUGUUAAUAUAGGGGAGGGUUUGGUAUGUUUGGGGGGAUAGAGUUGACGCGAGCGUCGAUCAUCACCGAUUAUUGCACACGGCAGUGGCAGCAUUUUACAUAUGCAUCUAGAUCAAGAGUAUAUGAUAGAGAUCGCUAUUAUGUACUCUUGAUCUAGAUUGAAUUCCUGCGUGUUAUCUAGUCUGGGUGUCUGCCUAGCUGUAUAGCUGUGUAGCUGUAGCACAUUAAUUGCCACUUAAUUACUUUGUUCUCAUGUGCAUAUAAAUAGAAUAAGCAGUUUAUCUUCGCGGACACUUCUUCUCCUUGUAGACCUGCUAUAACUCAUAUAGUCUCUUUGGACGUUUAUAAGAACCAAGGAUUCGAUUAGCGUGUUUUUAGCGAAUAAGUUGACCGUCAAAAUACGUUCGUGUUGUUACCGGUAGAUGUCGGUAGUGAACACGCACGUGUGAAACCCAUAGAACUUCUAUUUCUAGUUCUAUGGUAAAAAAUUAUUCGUCCGUGCAUGAAUAAUGUGUUUUGUAGGGCUGUCCCGCUUGUUAUAGAUGCCCAACCCGUGUAACUAGUGCAAUGUAAUUUGUAACGUAUGAAAUGUGAAAACCUAUAUAGAUGAUAACGUGAACAAUGGCCUA